UUGGAUCAAUGGGGGUGUAUUCUUUUUGACGCUGAUGGCCGUGGUUCAUAGGAGCUUCACUCCGGUGGUGACUGACGAACGACGGCGGUGCUAAAUCCGCUGGAAUCAACCACGGCAGCCAUGAUCUUCGAGCUUUCUCACCCCGAUGCUUUGCCAGCCAAAUCACAAACUGUAACAGCCCGUCGGAGAUUCGAAUAAACCCGCAUCGCCGCAUCAUAAACCCGCAUCGCCGUUCUUCGACUUCACAGGCCAAAUUGCGUUUACGGCUGGCGUUUCUAAUUUGUCAGUUCUGCUUUUACUUUGUUGUCUCUUUCGUCAGGUGCAAUUGUAUACGUUUGUGGGUUGUCGCCGUUUCGUAGCUUCUUCCUGGGGUGCAUUUCGUCCGACAUUGUUUUCUCUCUUAGGUUUGUGGAAAAACAAAGGUAGAUUUUGCGAUUUCGGUUAACAAGAGAAUGUAUAAUAAAUUCACAUCAUUGCCGUAAAAACUUACUAA
This 493-nucleotide long non-coding RNA is filed under the name Helianthus annuus (common sunflower). Its description in RNAcentral is "hypothetical non coding rna". The record is from RNAcentral. Lineage: Eukaryota; Viridiplantae; Streptophyta; Magnoliopsida; Asterales; Asteraceae.